AAUAUUUUCACUUCCCUUCAAUUUCCCUUGCAACCAAACAGAGCCAUUAAGAACAAAAAAUUUAGAAAUAUUGUUGUCCCAUUGCACAUGGGCAUAUUUGAUGAGCCAAUUCUGAAUCUCAGUUGGCUUCACUGGACAAUGACCAAGUUAAAUCAGUUCCACACAUAAUUGGUAGCUAAUUAUGAGGGGUGAAAGAUGAAAUGUGGUGAUUUUUCUUGGAAGCAGUUUCUCUAGGUGGCAUUCUUAUGGUUUCUUGACAGGUGUCUCUAUACUCCAUUCUGUUUCCUCUGUGAAGUCUAAAACUAGGAAAAUUGCAUGAAACAGGUUAGCUUACAUGAGUUUCUGAACUUCAACUUGAAAAACUGUACGAAUCUGGAACUUUAUCAGGGAAGAACAACCGUGAAAUUUGGAAGAUUGGGCUUUAAAGACCAUGAAUGGCUGUUAGAACUGGAAUGCUGUAUGUUGGUUUGUUGCCUUCUCACAUGAAAAUUAAUUCUCUUUUUAGUUGAUCUAUAAGCAAAAUAGUGAGAAUAUGUGGAUAUUUUGUAGUUGAUCUAUUCUUUUGUUUGGACUGAACAUAGUUCUUUUUUUUUUCUGAUUAAGAGAACAUAGUUAUGUUCUGAAGGGGAAAGUUUGACUCAUUUAGCUUUCGGACUUACAGGCUUUGUCUGUUGGACUGAUUGCUUCUCCUUGUGGGUUUUGUGUUAAUUUCUCUGUUGCAACUCUCUUUUCGUUGAAUUAAUGUGUUAGUUCAGUCAGUUUUUUAUUUAUAUGAUGUUUUUUAACUGCGCAACAUCUUUCAUCAUAUGUCAUGGUCGUCAUACAACAUCCUAAAAAAAAUCAUUUUUUAAGUUGAAUAUAUCGAUCACACAACUCUCUGAACACACCUCUCUCCAUUUCAUGCUGCUAUUAUCAAAUCAUUUUCCUAAAUGAAAUCUGAUAAGCAGGGCACGGACAUCUGAGUAGCAGAAUUUGAACAAGUAAAAUUCCGCGUCUUUUUUUUUUGGUAUAAACUAAAAUUUAUUGUGUCAAUGCUUACUUGUACUUUUUUUUUAACCGAUGCAAAUUAAACCUGUUAGAAUCAGUCUUAUCCCCCAAUGAAAAGGCCAAUUAGGUGUUAAAAAAAUAAAAGUAAAAUAGAUUGUCUAUGAAACAGAAAAAAAAAAUAUAAAUGAUACUAGUGUUCCAAAACCUUCUCCAGCUGUGUCUUGUCUGUGAUGGUUCUCCUAGAAGAUGCCUUCUCUCGACGAUAUUUAGGGAGGGGAAAGUAAUAUAACCAAAAGACUCAAACUUGAGAUCCCCUGAUGAGGGUGGGUUUUGUGUAUCACACCUGCACCAAUUGCGUUAGGUAGUUGUUCUAACGGAGGAAUAUCAUGUCUCUAUGAGUCUCUUGGAUUUGAAAUGAUUUUUAAGGACUCCUAAUAUUGACAGGUUAUCAACACAAGUGCACCCGUGCUGCUUCAACUUGAUCGAUGGAUUGGAAUCUUGAUUACUCUUGAUUUUUUCGGUUGACAAAUUGCUAAUCUCACAGUGGAUUAAGCCAUCAUAGUCUAAUCACGUCAUAUUAAGCUUGCGACACUGCCUUGCAACCUCAACCACUCGAGGCUUUGAAGUCUUCCCAAGAAGGUUAAACUCAUCUAGCUUUGGCAGAAGUUUUUGUCGCUUCCAAAGCCUCCUUUGUGACCUCUGCAAUAGUCUUUGAGGGCAUCUUCGAAAGAACCAUAAUUGGAAGCUGAAGCAAAGUAUAGCAAAGUCUGUUUGGAUGAUUUUUUAUGCUUGAUGCUAAUAUAGUGACUGUGUUGAUGACUACUUGGAAGUUGAAGAGCAGUAUAAGGAAGACUCUGUCUGUAUGACUCUUGAUGCCUUAUGAUGCUUAAGUCGUGCUAUUGUUGAUGAAUAUUUAUAAAGAUAGGUAUAUAUAAACGUUUAAGCAGCUGUACUUUGCAUACGGAAGACGAGGAGCUUGCAACAAUGGUUCUCACCUUAAAAUUUCAUGUUUGAGUUUCUUAAAAUCUCUAUUAUAGUCUCCUCCACUUCAUGUUGAAUUUUUGGUUCCA
Molecule: long non-coding RNA, 2057 nt
Organism: Macadamia integrifolia
Lineage: Eukaryota; Viridiplantae; Streptophyta; Magnoliopsida; Proteales; Proteaceae
Exons: 2
Source: RefSeq, a predicted model, not a curated record